This 25-nucleotide non-coding RNA is filed under the name Cricetulus griseus (Chinese hamster). Lineage: Eukaryota; Metazoa; Chordata; Mammalia; Rodentia; Cricetidae. The record is from RNAcentral.
UGUUGUUUAGUCCCCAACUGUCUGC